CACGUAGGGGCCAAGCGUUGUCCGGAUUUAUUGGGCGUAAAGAGCUCGUAGGCGGCUCGGUAAGUCAGGUGUGAAACCUCCAGGCUCAACCUGGAGACGCCACCUGAUACUGCUGCGGCUAGAGUCCGGUAGGGGAGCGUGGAAUUCCUGGUGUAGCGGUGAAAUGCGCAGAUAUCAGGAGGAACACCAGCGGCGAAGGCGGCGCUCUGGGCCGGAACUGACGCUGAGGAGCGAAAGCGUGGGUAGCAAACAGG
This 254-nucleotide ribosomal RNA is filed under the name uncultured bacterium. RNAcentral describes it as "partial 16S ribosomal RNA". It matches the Rfam family "Bacterial small subunit ribosomal RNA", at positions 524 to 776 of the family's 1533-position model. The record is from RNAcentral.